UACAUACAUACAUAUAUAUAUAUAUGUAUAUGUAUAUAUAUAUUACUUAUUUGCUUUAUAUAUAUAUAUAUGUAUAUAUAUAUACUCCAGUAGCAUAGCCAGAGUGUGUGCCACCCUGGGGUGACCCUUUAGUUUGUGCCCCCCCAUGCAUAUUGCUUACUGCAAGCCCAAAAGUGGUGCCACCUAGGGUAAACGUCCCCUCCAUCCCAUGUAGCUACGCUAGUGAUAUUCCACAUAAUUGUUACAUUAUAUACAUCAGCAGAUUUGGUUUCCAACUAAAUUUGGCUCUCUAGGCAUUGGCCAAUUCAAAGUUAUGAUAGAAUGCACUUGCCCAAGGUGUUGUAUUGUGAUGCAUAUCGUUGAGCUUCUUUUCUCAACAACCAUUUCUGUGCGUAUACCCAUCUUGUAACAUAGUAACUUUAUGUACUACAUUAAGUAGCUUUGGAUUAGCUUUGGAUGUUAAAGUUACAAUGUUACAUCUAAAUUCAUUUUGAAUUAAAAUUGAAUAACGACAACAAAAAAAAGUAUAGCAUUGAAAUAUUUUAAUGUUAUACUUUUUUUUCCUUUCCAUUUUUGUUAUUUCAUCAUGUCAUUCUGAGCAACCUCCAUUAAAAGCCGGUUUUCCUUUCCUUUCCUCAUCAAGCCAAUCCUAUCUUUUUGAGUUUCAUUUUUUCCACACCUCUUUAAUACUGUUAAUACUGGGAUUGGCAGAAUUGUUAAAGAGUUGGACGAAAUGCUUUGUGGUGUUUAUGUUAAGGCUCUUUACAUUCUGAGUUCAUAUCCUAUUGAGGUCGACAUUGUCUUUCAUUCUUCAGGUUUCAGUAAAAAUAUGUACCAAUCAAGUAUUGAGAUCAAUUUAUAAUCAGCUCUAUCCUCCCUUGAGAUUUCUGGUCUUGUGUCAGCAAAAACCUAUAUUUCACAACAUACUGCCAGAAAUACUUCGUUUUGAGAUUCUAGAAAAUUAAAUGAAAAAGAAAAUGAUGUAUUUUCCUUCUAUACACUCAAGUUAUACCAUAAUCUUUUGCACUGAGAUAUUAAAAUGACCUGUUUGCUGUAUUCUAACAUUGUUGCAAUUAAUUUUCACCUGAUUAGAGAACACAUUCUGUGAAUUUGACAAUUCUGAUGUAGAUUUUUUUCCUUUACCAAAGUCCGAAUACAACUGAAAACGUACCGAAAAGUUCAUUUUAAAAUCAAGAAUUUUUGUGAAAUACAAAACUUUUUUUUUAAACAUUAUAAUUAACAAUGUUUUUAUUUUUGGAGGGGGUAAAAAAAAAGGCCUUUUUUUUUUAAAAAAAGUAUUUGAAAUAUUUUUUAUUGUUGGAUUGUAUAUUUUUAUUACUUUCCUUUUUUUUAUGGUCAGAAUACAUUUUUUACUGGUGUACUUCAAAUUAUUAUUAUGUCCUGUUUAAUAUUUAAUUAAAUGCGCAUUUAAUUAUUUUUAUUUUAUUUUUUGAAAAAUUUAACAUUGUAUUAUUUAUUUAUUUAUUUAUUCUAUUUUGUAUUGAACUUUUUUUCUUGAAAUGCAACAUUUUUCGGUUUUCAUCAUCAAAUUAUCUACAUCAUUUCUGACAAAAAAAUAAAAAAAAGAAAUUGUCAGUGUUUUUGAAUGUUUGAGACAUUACAAAAUACAGCUGUGGGG
RNAcentral lists this long non-coding RNA (1639 nucleotides) under Octopus sinensis (East Asian common octopus). RNAcentral describes it as "uncharacterized LOC118767236". Lineage: Eukaryota; Metazoa; Mollusca; Cephalopoda; Octopoda; Octopodidae. The record is from RNAcentral.